UACGUAGGGGGCUAGCGUUGUCCGGAAUCAUUGGGCGUAAAGCGCGCGUAGGCGGCCCGGUAAGUCCGCUAUGAAAGUCAAAGGCUCAACCUUUGAAUGUCAGCGGAUACUGCCGGGCUAGAGUCCGGAAGAGGCGAGUGGAAUUCCUGGUGUAGCGGUGGAAUGCGCAGAUAUCAGGAGGAACACCAACGGCGAAGGCAGCUCGCUGGGACGGUACUGACGCUGAGACGCGAAAGCGUGGGGAGCGAACAGG
RNAcentral lists this ribosomal RNA (253 nucleotides) under uncultured bacterium. RNAcentral describes it as "partial 16S ribosomal RNA". It matches the Rfam family "Bacterial small subunit ribosomal RNA", at positions 524 to 776 of the family's 1533-position model. The record is from RNAcentral.